AUGGUCUGUCGCUAUUGGUGGAAUAAUCAAGAUGAGGAGCGGCACCACUGGUUGAGCUGGCAGUGUCUUACAAAGCCGAAAACUGAGGGUGGCCUUGGCCUUCGGGAUCUCCACAUCUUUAACCUGGCCAUGUUGGCUAGACAAGGUUGGCGACUACUUCAAGACCCCGAGUCUCUUUGUGGGAGGGUGCUGCGGGCUAAAUAUUUCCCUGACGGGAAGCUUCUGGACGCUGUUCCCGCCCCUGGCAUAUCAUACAGUUGGCGCAGCAUCCUAAAAGGGGUGGACUUAUUGAAGGAAGGGAUUAUCUNNNNNNNNNNAGGGCGAUACAAGGAGGCCUAG
This 339-nucleotide ribosomal RNA is filed under the name Triticum aestivum (bread wheat). RNAcentral describes it as "partial small subunit ribosomal RNA". The record is from RNAcentral. Lineage: Eukaryota; Viridiplantae; Streptophyta; Magnoliopsida; Poales; Poaceae.